GCCACGUUUACAUAUGCCACCUAAGAAACUCAUUUUUAAAACACUCAUUCACUCUUAACCAAAAACCCCAAAUCAACCAUUUUUGAACCCUUGCCCCAAAUUUCCCGAAUUCUUCCCCUCAAAUCCUACCCAGUCCGUCGAAGAAGAAGACAAAGAAAAGAACACCGACGAUGUCGCGCAGUGGAGUGUCAAACGCAGGUAAAAUUUAUUUACUUUUUUGAUAUCAUUAUUACUUCCUUUUGAUUCUUCGGUACUCACUAUAUCUGUAAUGGUUCUCUGCAUCUUCAUUGAUGUGUUGGUGUUCAUCCAUUUAUUAUUUUACUAUAUAUUUACCUAUUUGUUUUAGUUUUAUGUAAACAAUAGGCUUUACUUAUGUUCAUCCACACGGUUUCAAGCUUUUCAAUUCAGACUUGCAUAAAAGUUUUGCCUUUUUCCCUCUAAUCCGAAUCUAAAAGACGUGACUUUUGUCAGGAAUCUUUCAAAUGGAAAGGGAAAUUUUAUAGGUUGAAGGAAUUAGAUUUUGCAUUUGACAAAUUCACUAAGGGUACAAAAUCAGUUUUUGCAUUUGAGAAAUUCACUUUGCAUUUCCAGUCAUCAAGAUUAUUAUGGUUGUCUAUAAAUUUAAGUAUAUUGAUCCCUCCCAACCAACUGAAGAGAAAAAACACAAAAAUCAAGAUUUACGAUAUACACAAUGCAUGUGAAAUUUCAUUUUUGCUUUUUUUUUUUUUUUUGUGGGAUUAUGUAACUACAAUUUAGUUUUAAGCAUGUUACUUUGGUCAUUUUGGGAUGAAAUAUUAUGUUCUUAUUUUGGACUGAUUGUUCUAUGCAUUAUGGUGACGGGGUGGGGGGAUGAUCCGAAUUUUAUCGUCCCUUAUAAUGAAUAUCAUACGGAUGAGGAUGAUGACAUGUACAUUCAAAAUAUGGAUGAAGUUAUUGACUUGGAAUACCCAUCCUCAAAGGAAUUAUUGUCUGGCUUUUCAUCGAAUGACUAACCAAGGCCAAGAUUUCCAGAAUUUUGUGCGGAUAAGGAUAUGCAGGAUCCAAAAUUCGUGGUUGGCCAGAAGUUCAGUUUGGUAGAUUCUUUUAGACAGGAAGUUAGAACAUACGGGGCAUUCCAUAGGUACAAUGUGAAAUUUAAAACUAAUGAUAGAUCAAGGGUGCAAGCCGUAUGCAAGGAAUGAUGCAAUUGGAAUAUCUGGGCAUCUAAGACAUGUAAAGACGAAGCAUUUCAAAUAAAAUCAAUGGCCCCAGCACACACAUGCAGCCGUGACAAGAUAUAUAGAUGCCUCACGUAUGAUUUUUUAGCUAAGCGAUAUCUGGAGACUUUUAGAGAGAAUCCUGAACGAAAGACAUCAAGUUUCAUUCGCCGUGUGAAGCAAGACCUAAAGUCUGACAUUAGUCGGGAUGUUGCAUGGAGGGCGCGAAGGCAUGUGAAGUUGCUUUUGGAAGGUAGUUGGGAAAAACAGUUUUAGAUGCUUCGAUCAUAUGCUGCAGAAGUUUUCUGAUCGAACCCAGGAUCUACUGUAUUCAUUGCAUUGAGGGAGCAGGUUUUUAAAGGAAUAUACAUUUGCUUUGAAGCAUGCAAGCGGAGGUUUCUGAAUGGUUGUAGGAAGAUAAUUGGAUUGGAUGGGUGUCAUUUAAGGGGGGAUUACGGAGGACAAAAGCUUAUAGUGGUUGCAUACAAUGUAAAUGAUUGCAUUUACCCGGUUGCUUACGCGGUAAUUGAGGGGGAGAAUACGGUAAGUUGGCGAUGGUUUGUGCAACACUUGGCGAAUGACCUUGGUAUUGAUGACAGUAACCGGUGGACUUUUAUGACUGAUCGUCGGAAGGGCCUUCAAAAUGUGAUUGAUGAUUUAUUUCCCGCUGUUGAACAUUGAUUUUGUGUGAGGCACAUGUAUCAAAAUUUUCAAAGCAGGUUUCAAAGACUGAAUUCUGAGGGAUUACUUGUGGAGAGCUACUAAGUCAACCAUAGUUGCGCAUUAUUUGAUGUGGAUGCAACAAAUCAAACAAGUGUAUGAAAAUGCACAUGAUGGUUUGAUCAAAAGGGAUCCACGGGAGUGGAGCAAGUCUCACUUUCAGGUUAUAGUGAAGAGCGACAUUGUUUUGAAUAAUGAUUGUGAGAUUUUCAGUAAGACAUUGAUAGAUGACAGAGAGAAAUCAAUACUCACAAUGCUAACUUCCAUUCAACUUACCUUCUGAAGAGUCUACAAGGAAGAAGGGAUAAGAUGAGGGCCUACGAAGGGGCCAUAUGUCCUAAGAUAUAAAUAAAUAAAUAAAUUGGUGAGGAAUAUUGAGUUGGCGGAUGGAUGCGACAUCAAUUGGUCCGGAGGACCAAAGUAUCAGGUGACGAGUGCAAGUGGACAAUACGUGGUUGACUUGGAACAACGUACAUGUGCCUGUAGAUGGUGGGAACUAACAGGGAUCCCAUGAUGUCAUGCAGUUGCAGUUAUUCUGGACACACGAAAUCAGCCAGAGGAUUAUGUAGAUAGGUGCUACUCAGUGGAAAAAUACCUUGCUUGCAACGAAAACAUACUCAGUCCUAUGAACGGAUCUUUUGUGUGACUAAGUGUGGAAGCUCUUCCAAUCGAAGCUCCUAAUUGGGUAGAAACACAAAAGGGAAAGAGACCAAAAAAAAAAAAAGCAGAAGAAAGGGAGCUGAAGAAGAUUAUAUUGAACAUUCAUGAGGGAGAUCUAAAAUAUCAAAAAAGGAAAAUUGCAUAAUGACGUGUUCUGUCUACAGCAGGCAAGGGCAUAAUAAAAAAUAUCACGCAAGGGCCGAUGCUCCAGAUUCCGUAAGUUUUGUCAACCUGCCUAUUUAAUAUAAAUAUACAUUUUUUUCUCCAUUUCUUCACCCCUUCUUAUCAGUACUUUUGUCCAUUUAGGAGUGGUUCAACACGACCCUAGAGCCAGUUUGUUCUGAAAGAGAGCGACCUGGGUGGCUGGAAGAAAACUAACUCCAGACAGAGGAAGUGUUGGACAGCCCACCCAAUUGGACUGAUUUCAACAUUCUGGUGUUUUUUGGAUGGUUGGCAGAUGGUUUUUGGUGUACUUUUUUGGCUGAAUGUAAUUAGUAGAUGAUGUUUUUUGGAUGUUCUGGUGUAUGCUUUUGGCUAAGUUUAAUUACAUGUUUGAAUGUGAUUAGUAGAUGAUGGUUUUUGGAUGUUUUGGUGUAAGCUUUUGGUUAAAUGUAAUUACAUGGAUGAAUGUAAUUAGUGGAUGAUAAACUUUGGAUGCCAACUAAAAGGGAUGCCUGCUGUUGCAUAUUUUAGUUAUUAGCUUACAGGCAAACUUUUUCACCUUCCAAAAUGUCAUUAAUUUUGGAUGCAUGGUAUUGUUGCAUAAAUGUUGCUGGU
RNAcentral lists this long non-coding RNA (3353 nucleotides) under Olea europaea subsp. europaea. Lineage: Eukaryota; Viridiplantae; Streptophyta; Magnoliopsida; Lamiales; Oleaceae. The record is from RNAcentral.